AAGCGGUGGAGUAUGUGGUUUAAUUCGAUGCAACGCGAAGAACUACCUGGCUUGACAUCCCGGAGACCCUUAGGAAACUAGGGGGUGCUUCCAUCUGGAAGAAUCUGGAGACAGGUGCUGCAUGGCUGUCGUCAGCUCGUGUCGUGAGAUGUUGGGUUAAGUCCCGCAACGAGCGCAACCCUUGCCUUUAGUUGCCAGCAGUUCGGCUGGGCACUCUAAAGGGACUGCCGGUGUUAAACCGGAGGAAGGUGGGGAUGACGUCAAGUCCUCAUGGCCUUUAUGACCAGGGCUACACACGUACUACAAUGGCCGAUACAAAGGGCAGCGACACUGCGAGGUGAAGCCAAUCCCGUAAAAUCGGUCUCAGUCCGGAUUGGAGUCUGCAACUCGACUCCAUGAAGUUGGAAUCGCUAGUAAUCGUGGAUCAGCAUGCCACGGUGAAUACGUUCCCGGGCCUU
This 458-nucleotide ribosomal RNA is filed under the name uncultured Desulfobulbus sp. RNAcentral's name for it is "bacterial SSU rRNA". It matches the Rfam family "Bacterial small subunit ribosomal RNA", at positions 927 to 1382 of the family's 1533-position model. Lineage: Bacteria; Pseudomonadati; Thermodesulfobacteriota; Desulfobulbia; Desulfobulbales; Desulfobulbaceae. The record is from RNAcentral.